This 5612-nucleotide long non-coding RNA is filed under the name Populus tremula. RNAcentral's name for it is "long non-coding RNA (PTRE_LNC002379)". The record is from RNAcentral. Lineage: Eukaryota; Viridiplantae; Streptophyta; Magnoliopsida; Malpighiales; Salicaceae.
UCAGUUUGGUUUCACUAUAUAUAUUGGGUUUUUUUUUUUUUAAUGAGAUAGAGUGGGUAAAGUAAAAGUACAAUGCCUCACUUUAGGAAUCAGUAUCAUCAAGUACUUGAUGCUUUGAAGAUAGUAGACAGUACUAAUUUUUAAUCAAUAUCCUGAUUUAUGAUCUUAUAAAACAGGGAGAGGCAGUUCAAGACUGGCGUGAAAUAGUGACCUUCUUCUCAUACCCGAUUCGCACCAGAGACUAUUCAAGGUGGCCUGACAAGCCAGAGGCAUGGAAAGCAGUGACCGAGGAAUACAGUAAGAAGCUAAUGGAACUUGCUUGCAAGCUUCUUGGCGUCUUGUCAGAGGCCAUGGGAUUAGAAACAGAGGCCUUAACUAAGGCUUGUGUUGACAUGGACCAAAAGGUGGUGGUCAAUUUCUAUCCAAAAUGUCCACAGCCAGACCUUACACUUGGACUCAAACGCCAUACCGAUCCCGGCACCAUCACCCUCUUGCUCCAGGACACCGUUGGAGGUCUUCAGGCCACUAGAGAUAACGGAAAGACUUGGAUCACCGUUCAACCUGUUGAAGGUGCUUUUGUGGUCAAUCUCGGAGACCACGGUCAUGUGAGUAUGAAACUAAAAUAUUUCCUGUUAAAUACCAGCACUACUCACCGUGAUUAAUUGUACUAAAACUAAAUGGUAUGUUUGCGAGGCAGUAUCUGAGCAAUGGAAGAUUCAGGAACGCAGACCAUCAAGCUGUGGUGAACUCAAACUCCAGCAGGUUGUCCAUAGCCACAUUCCAGAACCCAGCACCAGAUGCUACAGUGUACCCUCUCAAGAUCAGAGAGGGAGAGAAGUCGGUGCUAGAUGAGCCAAUAACAUUUGCUGAGAUGUACAGGAGGAAGAUGAGCAAGGACAUUGAGAUAGCCAAUAAAAAGAAGUUGGCUAAGGAGCAGCUGCUGAAAGAUUUGGAGAAAGCCAAGUUAGAAACUAAGCCCAUUGACGAGAUCCUUGCUUGAAAAUGUCAUUUGCUGUCAAGAAUUUAUGUGCUGGCCGUCUUUUACUCUGUCUGAUCAUGUUUUUCAUUGUGUCUGUUUAGUUUGAUGGUGAAAAUGUGUUGAGUCUGUGGGUUAUCUAAGAGUAAACCUCGCUUCUUAUAGAAAAAAAAGAAGAAAUUUCUCCACCACCAUGGAAGUCUUCAAUUUGUUGUCCAGGGACAGGGUUCUUUUGUUCUAAAAUAUCAUUCAGAGCUUUUAGCUGUAUCAUGGAAUGGAAUUAUGAAAAUAGUCCUUUAACAUUCUUCAUUCAAUAAAAUGAGAGCUGUAUCAUUGUAUGUCUGAAAACUAAAUCCUUUCUUCUCUCCAAGCAUUGAAAUAUAAGGAUCCAGCCUCUGGGCUUGAGGCCCAAUAGUCUAGCUGCACCUCCGAGAGACAGCAUUUCCUCGCCAGGAGACCAAGCUGUAAUUUGAGGAGUACAUCCCACUGGAUCACGGAAAUCAAGCUUAAAAAGGAGGUGCCACAUGCAAUUAUCUGGUGUCAAGUUGAAUGGGAUGAUGUUAGUCAAUAUUACAUCUAAUUUCCACUAAUUAAAGGACCAAAAUGCAAGUUUAUUAAAUAAAACGCAUCACUUUAGAAACUUGUCCUCUUAGAAAUUAGUUCAUUGAUCGUCAUCAACAAUACACAGCUCACCCAGCCCAAGAAUUAAAAGGAUGAUUUUUGCAUUGUUUAUUGUCAAUUUAGACCAUUCUUUCUAAGUAAUGCAAAUUAUAGGUGGCGAGUAUAAACAAAUCUACCUACAUGAUUCAAAGUUGUGUGAGUAACUUUCAACUCUAAAAUAAAGGAUUUCAUCUUCUUCCUUUAGUUUAUCUCUGCAACAAGAAAAUACACACACAAUCCCAUAAAUAAUAAUAAAAAAAACUUAUUUUGUGGUGUUCGACUUGUUCAAACCUAGAAUUACGAGUCCUUUGACCUCUCCUUACUGUGCAAUCAGCAAGUUUAUUAUUGGGUUUGAUGGUGGCUAUGAGAGUAUAUGUUUAAUUUCUCUUUUACAAGUGAUCCAAUAUUGAAAGAGUUUUUAUGGAAAUAUAUUUGUCUUUAUUAAAGAAAUAGGGUUAGUGAGGCCAGGAAAAAGGAAAGAUGAUAUACUUCAUUUUCUCAUUAAUUUCCAUUUUUCUUCAAUAUCUCUCUUUUUUUUAAUUUUUAUCGUCUCUCUAAAAUAAUAUUUAUAAUGCAUUUUCCAAUUCUUAAACGUACAUAUGCAUUCAUUCAUUUUCCUAUCCGUGUGUGGGUGUAAGAAAUUCACUUUCUCAUCCACAUUCUCGCCUCCAAACUAAAAGCAAUUACAAACAAGAUAGCAAAACAACUCCAUCACGUCCCUUUUCACUUAAAUGGAUUCCAUAGAAGACAUUUGCUACUGCAAAUAGAAUCAAAAUAUUCCCCACACAUUGUAGCGGUAUCAAUUCCUAAACUUUCCUACCUUUGACGACUUGUCUUGUCGAGUAAAAAAUAUCAUCUUUUAUAUAUAAAAAAAAUCAUAAGGGAUAGAUUAAUUGAUCAGGUUUUAAGUUUACUAUCUAAUAAUCACGAGUUUAAGUCCUCUCAGGGCUAUUAGAGACUUAUAUAAUCGUUAACUUUAAAAUCCAUAAAAUUAAUCGAGAUACGUAUAAGAUAAUUUAAACACACCCACGUUAAUAGAAAAAAAAAAUACAAGUCACAAUCUUAGAGAGAGAGAGAGAGAGAGAGAAUAUUCAGUUAACCCUUUUUCCUUUUCUAACAAAUAAAAGGUAUAAAUUUGGAAUUUAACAACUCGUAUCAAUUGAAUUGCAUAAUCGAGUAAUUAUGUAACGAGAUUUUCCUGACAUGAAGGCAUCCAAGAACAAGGAAGACCCCAAAACCCUUGUGGGUAGACACAUCAGCACCAAGACGAUGUUGAAGGACGAGUCCGCAGAUGAAAACAGCUAUACCUAGUAAAAAUCCCAAUGAUCGAAUACAAGUAUGGACAUAGAACCACAUAGGAUCUCAUUUCCUGAAUUAGCAAGCAAUUAUUGCUCCGUUUAUAAUCAAAAUACCCCAGCCAGCCAUGUUCAAUGCUCCAUGGCUCUUCCUUAAUCUUGACUGUGGGAGUGAGGUUUUCUAUUUUACCGAAAAAGUUUAUUAUGUAAGUCUAUAUAUAUGGUCUUAAAAAGAAACGGAAUAAAAUCCAAAUAUAUAAAUAAAAAUUAUACCUUCAUUAUUGUAUUUUUAUUUUGUUUAAGAUUCGUAACUAGGUUUGUAAUUAGCAACGCUUGAUUUGUUUGUUUUUUCUUUCUUUUUUUCACAGGUUUCUUUGCAUGAAUCAUUCGUGGCAGAGCAUUCAGCUGGAAAAAAAAAGUGCACUUCGACUCUUUUUAGGGUUGUGUUUGCACUAGAAUUUUAAUAAUAUUUGAAUGUUUUAUUUAAAAUUAUUUUUAUUUUUUUUAGUUUGUUUUGAUGGGCAUACAAAAAUUAUUUGUAAAAAAUAAAAAAUUAUAUAUUAUUUAGAUGUAUUUUUUUUUAGUAAGUACUUAAUCUUGAAACAAGAGGGAUAGAGAAAACGAAAAAUUAUUAUAUUUUCAAUAUUGAGAGAUUGUGAAAAUUAAGAGUAUACAAAUAUCCUCUUCAAUGUCUAUCUAGAAGGAAGAGGGAUAAAGAAAACGAAAAAUUAAAAGUUUGGUAACUAGGAACAACCUCACUCCCUCACGAGCCAAGGAGCUAAGGAGAGGUAGUUGGCACAUGCCAACAUCCCCUAUUAUAUAUGCACACGAACCAUAGCUACUCUCUAACCAGGGUAGUUAAAUAACAGCAUUUGCAUCCCCAUUUUUUGCUUUUAUAAGAGCUAGGACAAAAAGACAAGAACUCAAGUCUUCGACCUAAAAUCAAGCCGGCAACGAUGGCCCCUUCUACCCUCACAGCUCUGGCAGAAGAGAAAACCCUCCAAGCAAGCUUUGUUCGCGACGAAGAUGAACGUCCGAAGGUGGCUUAUAACCACUUCAGCAAUGAAAUCCCUGUCAUUUCAAUAGCUGGGAUUGAUGAUGGUGGUGAAAAGAGAGCUGAAAUAUGCAACAAGAUCGUCGAGGCAUGCGAGGACUGGGGAGUUUUUCAAAUUGUUGAUCAUGGCGUUGAUGCUAAGCUGGUGUCUGAAAUGACAACUCUUGCUAAAGAGUUUUUUGCUUUGCCGCCGGAAGAGAAGCUUCGGUUUGAUAUGUCUGGUGGCAAAAAGGGUGGCUUCAUUGUCUCCAGCCAUUUACAGGUAUAACUUCUUUUACGUUUUGUUUUCUGAAUUUAACAAUUACGCAGACCUUUAUUGUUAAAUUUCCUAUCGGACUGAUCUUUUUCCAAAUGAAAAAUACAUGUUUCCAACUCAAAAAUAUACCAUGUGCCCGGCUAGCUAGCAAGCAAAUCAAUCAAACUUCUGUGAAAUAGUUCAACAAUUUUUUUGAGUUUUUUUUAUUAUAUAAUCUUGAUUAGAAACUUAAAGGAAAAAUUAAUUCAGUUUGGUUUCGGAUUCUUAGAAACUGAAAAAAAACAAAACCAUGAAUUAUUAGGCUUGGCACGACAGAAUUGACUGAAGAGCAAUACCUAAUAUAUCCAGUUUUGCUAGUAAAUCAUUUCUUGAUUACGCAAGAUCAAGAAAGCCACUAUUUUGGUUCAGGAAUUUCUCUUCCCCGCAAUAUGAAUGUGUAUUCUGUCCUUACAGACGAAAUUAUACGCUAAGAAGGUCUAUGAAAGUGUAGUAGAGGUUGCUUUUUUAAUAGUUUUUCGUGCCGAAAAGCAUGCUAAUAAUGUUUUUUUAUUUUUAAAAAAUUAUUUUUAAUAUCAACACAUCAAAACGAUUCAAAAAGUACAAACCGCACUUAAUUUUAACAAAAAAUAAAUUUAAAAUUUUUUAAAAAACAAGUUCAACAGCAAUAUCAAACGAACACUAAGAUUACAAGGUCAACAAGGGAAUAGUUGUAAUUUAACUGACUACUAUCAGCACACAUGGUGGAGCUAAGACUUUUAUUCUUGUAUGGUCUAAACUAAUCAUGACUUCUUGACAUACACGCACAUCACUAUAUAUAUAUAUAUAUUGGUUUUUUUUCUUCUUAAUGAGAUAGAGUGAGUGAAUUAAAAGUACAAUGCCUCACUGUAGGAAUCAACAAGGACUGAAAAGGAAAAAAAUUAGCUAUGAACAGUGACUUGAACAUGAAAAAUGAGAAAAGGGUCGUCGUCGGCCACUGCUUCAUAACAACAGUAAUAGGCCAAUCUAUUUUAGUUCUUUGUAAUAUCAUCAAGUACUUGAUGCUUUGAAGAUAGUAGACAGUACUAAUUUUAAAUCGAUUUCCUGAUUUAUGAUCUUAUAAAACAGGGAGAGGCAGUUCAAGACUGGCGUGAAAUAGUGACCUUCUUCUCAUACCCGAUUCGCACCAGAGACUAUUCAAGGUGGCCUGACAAGCCAGAGGCAUGGAAAGCAGUGACCGAGGAAUACAGUAAGAAGCUAAUGGAACUUGCUUGCAAGCUUCUUGGGGUCUUGUCAGAGGCCAUGGGAUUAGAAACAGAGGCCUUGACUAAGGCUUGUGUUGACAUGGACCAAAAGGUGGUGGUCAAUUUCUAUCCAAAAUGUCCACAACCAGAC